Small nuclear RNA from Mobula hypostoma (lesser devil ray), 107 nucleotides. NCBI's taxonomy places the organism in Eukaryota, Metazoa, Chordata, Chondrichthyes, Myliobatiformes, Myliobatidae. The record is from RefSeq and is a predicted model, not a curated record.
AUGCUUGUUUUUGUAGCACAUAUAUUAAAAUUGGAAUGAUACGGAGAAGACUAGCAUGGCCUCUACACAUCAAUGGCGCACAAAAUCAUGAAACUUCCCAUUUUUUU